RNAcentral lists this non-coding RNA (334 nucleotides) under Homo sapiens (human). The record is from RNAcentral. Lineage: Eukaryota; Metazoa; Chordata; Mammalia; Primates; Hominidae.
GUCCACGCCACCCUGGAGCUGUUUGCCCUGAUGGUGGUAGUGUUUGAACUCUGCAUGAAGUUACGCUGGCUGGGCCUCCACACCUUCAUCCGGCACAAGCGGACCAUGGUCAAGACCUCGGUGCUGGUGGUGCAGUUUGUCGAGGCCAUCGUGGUGUUGGUACGGCAGAUGUCCCAUGUGCGGGUGACCCGAGCACUGCGCUGCAUUUUCCUGGUGGACUGUCGGUAUUGCGGUGGCGUCCGGCGCAACCUGCGGCAGAUCUUCCAGUCCCUGCCGCCCUUCAUGGACAUCCUCCUGCUGCUGCUGUUCUUCAUGAUCAUCUUUGCCAUCCUCG